Molecule: long non-coding RNA, 375 nt
Filed under: Zostera marina
Lineage: Eukaryota; Viridiplantae; Streptophyta; Magnoliopsida; Alismatales; Zosteraceae
Description: long non-coding RNA (ZMAR_LNC002131)
Source: RNAcentral
AUAACAUAUGAUGAACAUGGCGGAUUCUAUGAUCAUGUAGCUACUCCAAACAAUGAUGUUCCAAAUCCUGAUGGAAUUCACGGCCCUGGACCAGAUUUGUUUCAGUUUGAUAGACUUGGGGUUCGUGUUCCCACUAUCAUGGUUUCGCCUUGGAUUAAGAAAGGAACAGGUUGUUAGUCACCCAUUAUUUCCUAUCUUCAAUUUCAUUUAUAUAUAACAAAGUUACCUCCAUUAACACAUUGGUUUUUUGCAGUGGUUAGUGCGCCAAAUGGACCAACUCCCAAUUCUGAGUAUGAGCAUUCUUCCAUACCUGCAACCAUAAAGAAGUUGUUUAAUCUCAGCUCAGAUUACCUUACUAGCAGAGACGCCUGGGCU